Molecule: ribosomal RNA, 440 nt
Filed under: uncultured bacterium
Lineage: Bacteria
Description: partial 16S ribosomal RNA
Rfam family: Bacterial small subunit ribosomal RNA
Source: RNAcentral
CCUACGGAUGGCAGCAGUGGGGAAUAUUGCACAAUGGGGGACACCCUGAUGCAGCGACGCCGCGUGAAUGAAGAAGUACCUCGUUAUUUAAAGCUUCAUUAGCAGGGAAGAAAAUGACGGUACCUGUGUCUGAAGCCCCGGCUAACUACGUGCCAGCAGCCGCGGCAAUACGUAGGGGGCAAGCGUUAUCCGGAUUUACCGGGUGUAAAGGGAGCGUAGACGGCAGUGCAAGUCUGGAGUGAAUGGCGGGGGCUCAACCCCCGGACUGCUCGGGAAACUGUACGGCUGGAGUGCAGGAGAGGUAAGUGGAAUGCGUGGUGUAGCGGUGAAAUGCGUAGAUAUUAGGAGGAACACCGGUGGCGAAGGCGGCUUACUGGACUGUAACUGACGUUGAGGCUCGAAAGCGUGGGGAGCAAACAGGAUUAGAUACCCCAGUAGUC